This 1891-nucleotide long non-coding RNA is filed under the name Acanthaster planci (crown-of-thorns starfish). Its description in RNAcentral is "uncharacterized LOC110985564". Lineage: Eukaryota; Metazoa; Echinodermata; Asteroidea; Valvatida; Acanthasteridae. The record is from RNAcentral.
GAAUGGCAGGCAAAGGAAGCGGUGUGAUCAGUGAAGAAAAGCGAGCGAGCUCCAAAUCCAUUGAUUUGAUGAUGGACACCCUGAACAUUAUCAAGUGGUGCAGACAGAUGAAACUUCAGAGCGUGUACUGCAAAUAAAUCAUCAGCGAUUUCGACGACUACAUCAACACUUUUUUAAACGAUGGAUCCGGAUCAUGACAUGCAAACUGCCAUAGCUUGAUGGACGCCGUUGAAGAUACACGAGUUCAUGAGGGCGCUAUACACCUUUUGGACGGGAUUAUUCUUACUAUGCUACAAUCUCAAAUGGAAUUUAGUGAAUAUCGAACAGUGCUGUCAGAUAGGUGGCGUCUGUUUUGCAGUUAUACACGGUAUUGGUAGGGAGGAAUUUUUGUCAAAUGGACAAAGGGUUAGCAACAGCGAUGUGAGUUUCUUAUACCAAUAAGUCCUCCAAGUUAAUAACCGUUAUAUUUCCACGAAUUUCAUUUAAGAUUGUAUCAGUAUUUCAACCAGAAAAAAAUACAUACCUUAAGAGUUUUGUUGAUCUAGUCUCCAUUACACUUUUAGUGGAGUAUUUAUAAUUGUAUGGCUAUGGGUGGGUAUAAUUGUUGACAAACCAUUGGGAAAUCAUUUAUAUACAGCUGGUGCUUACGCUGCAUUUUGCACCGACUGAAACGUUGCUACUGGAAUACGGAAAGUACAUUAAGUUGAACACAAACUCUCCCAAGCAAAGAUAAACGGUGAAGUAGAAAUUCUCAAUGAACGUCGUUUCUGUUUUAUGAUAAUUUAUUUUACUGCUUUAUGUCUACACAUGCGCACAUAAACCUGUACCUCACCCACGAUCUCCAGUAAUGUCCACAACAUGCACGAUGCAUUUGUUCAAUGUCCGUUAUAUAUUGAUUAUAGCAUAUCUGCUCGAUAAUUAUUGAAAUUUGUACUGCUAACAUUCCACGACAUGUCACGACUCUCAGCGGUAGAUGUAAGCCCCUUUUAUUGACAUGUCAAAGCAUUUUUUUCCUAUCUGGAAGCCAGUUGAAGAUAUACUUGUAAAUACUGACGAAGUUGUUUAUUUCAAUAUUAUUUGUGCUGGCACAUUAUUGUAGAUAAAACAACGAAACGAGACUCGCAAUGGGAGAUUUGGUUUGACUUUCUUUCCCUUCUCCGUAAACCUUUAGUGUACAAAGUCUUGUCUUUGCACCCCAAAAUAUUCAAGUAAACAGUAUAUGUUGGUCUUAAUGUCGUUGUUGUGAUAGAUAAGAAAAGUUAAUCACAUGAUUAUUCUAGUGGUUAAGAAGCAGGUGUAGCAUUUAUUUUUUUGGUCUGAAAACAGGAAGGGUUGUAGUGCGUGACCGGAAGCAAACCAUAAUUAUUGAAGGGGUUACGAUAAUACGUGAAUUCUGUUUUGGAGCCUCAGUGGGUUCACUCACACGUUCUAGAAAUCUUAGAUAAUCCUUCAUACAACUCAAACUAAAUAUUCACUGUGAGCUUCCUUGUUCUGUUCGAGGUUCAUUUCUUAAUUACUGAAUAGUCAGGCAGCAAGUGUAGCAAUACAGGUGCUAUAAAUUAAGUAUCCGCCAGUUGAAUACUUAUUGACUAAUGUAUUCUUCAUGAACGAGGUUUCACCAAAAAAAAACUGAAUUAUUUUUAGUUCGGAACAGAUGCUUGUAUCUUAUUCCCAAGAAAUCCCUGUAUGCUAAUUCACAAAAAUAUGUAAAUCGACAAUUAUACAAUGGACAAUGUGUUCAUUUGCAAUAUGUAUAGAAAAAUAUGUACAAGAUUUUAUGUAAAUUAAGUUCAUGUAAAUUAAGUUCAGGAUGACUAUUACACGUGCACGUGAAUGUUCUAGAGUCAGACCCUUUGGAAAAUAAACGUUAGUGAGCAAUUAGCAUUUUCAA